AGCGAACGCUGGCGGCAGGCCUAACACAUGCAAGUCGAACGAACCUUUCGGGGUUAGUGGCGGACGGGUGAGUAACACGUGGGAACGUGCCUUUAGGUUCGGAAUAACUCAGGGAAACUUGUGCUAAUACCGCAUGUGCCCUUCGGGGGAAGGAUUUAUCGCCUUUAGAGCGGCCCGCGUCUGAUUAGCUAGUUGGUUGAGGUAAUGGCUCACCAAGGCGACGAUCAGUAGCUGGUCUGAGAGGAUGAUCAGCCACAUUGGGACUGAGACACGGCCCACACUCCUACGGGAGGCAGCAGUGGGGAAUCUUGCGCAAUGGGCGAAAGCCUGACGCAGCCAUGCCGCGUGAAUGAUGAAGGUCUUAGGAUUGUAAAAUUCUUUCACCGGGGACGAUAAUGACGGUACCCGGAGAAGAAGCCCCGGCUAACUUCGUG
Molecule: ribosomal RNA, 434 nt
Filed under: uncultured bacterium
Lineage: Bacteria
Description: partial 16S ribosomal RNA
Rfam family: Bacterial small subunit ribosomal RNA
Source: RNAcentral